UCUGCCCAGAAGAGGGUAUCAGGUUGCUGU
RNAcentral lists this non-coding RNA (30 nucleotides) under Mus musculus (house mouse). Lineage: Eukaryota; Metazoa; Chordata; Mammalia; Rodentia; Muridae. The record is from RNAcentral.